Molecule: ribosomal RNA, 553 nt
Filed under: Rossellomorea vietnamensis
Lineage: Bacteria; Bacillati; Bacillota; Bacilli; Caryophanales; Bacillaceae
Description: bacterial SSU rRNA
Rfam family: Bacterial small subunit ribosomal RNA
Source: RNAcentral
AUACAUGCAAGUCGAGCGGAUUGAUGGGAGCUUGCUCCCUGAUAUCAGCGGCGGGGACGGGGUGAGUAACACGUGGGUAACCUGCCUGUAAGACUGGGAUAACUCCGGGAAACCGGGGCUAAUACCGGAUAACUCAUUUCCUCGCAUGAGGAAAUGUUGAAAGGUGGCUUUUAGCUACCACUUACAAGAUUGGACCCGCGGGCAUUAGCUAGUUGGUGAGGUAACGGCUCACCAAGGCAACGAUGCGUAGCCGACCUGAGAGGGUGAUCGGCCACACUGGGACUGAGACACGGCCCAGACUCCUACGGGAGGCAGCAGUAGGGAAUCUUCCGCAAUGGACGAAAGUCUGACGGAGCAACGCCGGUGANCUGAUGAAGGUUUCGGAUCGUAAAGCUCUGUUGUUAGGGAAGAACAAGUGCCGUCUCGAAUAGGGCGGCACCUUGACGGUACCUAACCAGAAAGCCACGGCUAACUACGUGCCAGCAGCCGCGGUAAAUACGUAGGUGGCAAGCGUUGUCCGGAAUAAUUGGGCGUAAAGCGCCGCGCAGGUGGU